AAAACAUAUUAGUUUAAUAGUGUUCAAUUAUCUGAAUUAUGCAAUUUAAUUAAUUAAACUAAAAAAUUGAGUAAAAUUUAAACCACCGAAAACAUCCCUUUGCGAAAAAUAACAUACUCUGACGUCAAUCAUUAAACUAAAACGAAGAGCAGCAGCUGCUAAGAUUCAACCACACCAUUUGACAAACAAAUAUAAAAGAAUUUCAUUUUAAUUCAAUAAGCUUUAGCCAUACUCAUAACUCUACAAUUCCCGACAUGAGAAAUACAUCGGUUGCUAAAUUCAACGUGUAUUUUUUUUUCCCUUUUUCUUUUUUUUUUUUCUUGUUUAACAGAUCUAUAAUUUUUCUGAAUGCUCAAUCGGACAUCCAUCUGCACUCAACAUUCUAAUGAGCAGAAGCACAAGGAAAGAACUGAAACUCGCUAAUAUUACACAUCUCACCAAAUAUCUCUGUACACAUUUAACCAAAGGGGAAAAUUGACUGAACUGGCUUGCCAACUCAAAUCACUUCACCUUCUAUACCUUUUUUUGCCCCUUAAAUUCGAACUGGCAAUCCAAAAUUUUGGAAAGUUCUAAUUUCCCCUCGAAGGCCAGCAGUUACAAUCACCAUACCAUAGGCUGACAUAUUUUGGUUCAUCCCAUUUGUAAAAUCUACACUUGAGUGCGGGCUCCAGUUUCUGGUAGCUAAAUUGAGUUUUUCCUCCGGCCAUGUUGCUGAAAUCCUA
RNAcentral lists this unclassified non-coding RNA (722 nucleotides) under Hevea brasiliensis (rubber tree). Lineage: Eukaryota; Viridiplantae; Streptophyta; Magnoliopsida; Malpighiales; Euphorbiaceae. The record is from RNAcentral.